AGUUUAAUUGUGUGUCUUGUAUUUUUAUUUGCUAAAUCUGAGAACCCUACUAAGGCUCCUUCACAAACCAAUUAAAUCAGAGUCUCCUGGGGUGGGGCCCGGGCAUAAGAAAUUUUAUAAAUGCUCCCCAGGUGAUUCUGCUGUUGGCAUUGGUUGAAAACUGCUGCCAAAGAGCCUCACUCUCAUUUAGAGUCACUUCCCUCAUACUCACCGAGCCCUCCUAUGCCCUCCUCAACGUACAUCCUGCAAACGUCUGUAAAGAAUGCUGUCUCUCCCAUCAACCCAGCCGCAUCCAAAUUGGUAUCACCUUUUCAUUAAUUCAGGACCCAAGGGAAGGGCAAGGCAAGGAUGCACAGGUGGCGAUGCCCAGGACACACUGCAGACCACUGGGCGAGCUCGUCUUCAUCGUCAGAGUUGCAAUGUUUUAAAAUAGUCCCUGCCUCAAGUACUUCCAUCAUAGAAGAGAGGAUAAAAUAGGCCCCCUGAACUAACCCACCCCUUCCUUCUUCCAGGUCUAUCUACUUGUAAAGAACUGCUGGGAGGAAGAUCCAGAAAAGAGACCAGAUUUCAAGAAAAUUGAGAAUACGCUGGCCAAGAUAUUUGGACUAUUUCAUGACCAAAAAAACGAAAGCUAUAUGGACACCUUGAUCCGCCGUCUACAGCUAUAUUCCCGAAACCUGGAGCAUCUGGUGGAGGAGAGGACACAGCUGUACAAAGCAGAGAGGGACAGAGCCGACAGACUCAACUUCAUGUUGCUCCCAAGGGUGUCAUCAUCAAUGGUCUUCACGAGUAAUGUCACUCAAAUGGUUUGAAACAGCUGGUUUACCAUCUCAGAUUUUUUUUACCCUUGGUUCAAUGUGCCAAUUUGACCAAUAGAUGGUAAAUGUUUUUACUGGAUUGUCAAAGCUUUUAGAACACAAAUCUUUUCCAUAGCUGUGUCGGGGUGGGGAAAAAUCCCCUUUCUUCCCUUCUUGUGUUCCUAUGGCUGGACUAAUAAUAAAAUUGACACAAGACUGGAUUAACAGGAGAAAAAAACAGUUUAAUAUAUACGUAUUGGAGAUCAUAAGGAAAUG
Molecule: long non-coding RNA, 1073 nt
Filed under: Equus caballus (horse)
Lineage: Eukaryota; Metazoa; Chordata; Mammalia; Perissodactyla; Equidae
Description: lncRNA (ENSECAG00000044084.1)
Source: RNAcentral